CCGGUUCACUUUAACACUGAGGCGUGACGACGAGGCACUACGGUGCUGAAGCAACAAAUGCCCUGCUUCCAGGAAAAGCCUCUAAGCAUCAGGUAACAUCAAAUCGUACCCCAAACCGACACAGGUGGUCAGGUAGAGAAUACCAAGGCGCUUGAGAGAACUCGGGUGAAGGAACUAGGCAAAAUGGUGCCGUAACUUCGGGAGAAGGCACGCUGACACGUAGGUGAAGUGAUUUACUCAUGGAGCUGAAGUCAGUCGAAGAUACCAGCUGGCUGCAACUGUUUAUUAAAAACACAGCACUGUGCAAACACGAAAGUGGACGUAUACGGUGUGACGCCUGCCCGGUGCCGGAAGGUUAAUUGAUGGGGUCAGCGCAAGCGAAGCUCCUGAUCGAAGCCCCGGUAAACGGCGGCCGUAACUAUAACGGUCCUAAGGUAGCGAAAUUCCUUGUCGGGUAAGUUCCGACCUGCACGAAUGGCGUAAUGAUGGCCAGGCUGUCUCCACCCGAGACUCAGUGAAAUUGAACUCGCUGUGAAGAUGCAGUGUACCCGCGGCAAGACGGAAAGACCCCGUGAACCUUUACUAUAGCUUGACACUGAACAUUGAGCCUUGAUGUGUAGGAUAGGUGGGAGGCUUUGAAGUGUGGACGCCAGUCUGCAUGGAGCCGACCUUGAAAUACCACCCUUUAAUGUUUGAUGUUCUAACGUGGACCCGUUACCCGGGUUGCGGACAGUGUCUGGUGGGUAGUUUGACUGGGGCGGUCUCCUCCUAAAGAGUAACGGAGGAGCACGAAGGUUGGCUAAUCCUGGUCGGACAUCAGGAGGUUAGUGCAAUGGCAUAAGCCAGCUUGACUGCGAGCGUGACGGCGCGAGCAGGUGCGAAAGCAGGUCAUAGUGAUCCGGUGGUUCUGAAUGGAAGGGCCAUCGCUCAACGGAUAAAAGGUACUCCGGGGAUAACAGGCUGAUACCGCCCAAGAGUUCAUAUCGACGGCGGUGUUUGGCACCUCGAUGUCGGCUCAUCACAUCCUGGGGCUGAAGUAGGUCCCAAGGGUAUGGCUGUUCGCCAUUUAAAGUGGUACGCGAGCUGGGUUUAGAACGUCGUGAGACAGUUCGGUCCCUAUCUGCCGUGGGCGCUGGAGAACUGAGGGGGGCUGCUCCUAGUACGAGAGGACCGGAGUGGACGCAUCACUGGUGUUCGGGUUGUCAUGCCAAUGGCACUGCCCGGUAGCUAAAUGCGGAAGAGAUAAGUGCUGAAAGCAUCUAAGCACGAAACUUGCCCCGAGAUGAGUUCUCCCUGAGACUUAGAGUCUCCUGAAGGAACGUUGAAGACGACGACGUUGAUAGGCCGGGUGUG
RNAcentral lists this ribosomal RNA (1353 nucleotides) under Salmonella enterica subsp. enterica serovar Enteritidis. RNAcentral's name for it is "partial 23S ribosomal RNA". It matches the Rfam family "Bacterial large subunit ribosomal RNA", at positions 1542 to 2869 of the family's 2925-position model. Lineage: Bacteria; Pseudomonadati; Pseudomonadota; Gammaproteobacteria; Enterobacterales; Enterobacteriaceae. The record is from RNAcentral.